Molecule: ribosomal RNA, 253 nt
Filed under: uncultured bacterium
Lineage: Bacteria
Description: partial 16S ribosomal RNA
Rfam family: Bacterial small subunit ribosomal RNA
Source: RNAcentral
UACGUAGGGGGCAAGCGUUGUCCGGAAUCAUUGGGCGUAAAGCGCGUGUAGGCGGUUCGGUAAGUCCGCUGUGAAAGUCGGGGGCUCAACCCUCGAAAGCCGGUGGAUACUGUCGGGCUAGAGUACGGAAGAGGCGAGUGGAAUUCCUGGUGUAGCGGUGAAAUGCGCAGAUAUCAGGAGGAACACCAAUUGCGAAGGCAGCUCGCUGGGACGUUACUGACGCUGAGACGCGAAAGCGUGGGGAGCAAACAGG